CCUCUCCACAGUCACUGAGCACACAGGUCUUCACCAUGGGAUGGAGCUGGAUCAUCCUCUUCCUGGUGACAGCAGCUACAGGUGUCCACUCUCAGGUCAAGCUGGAGCAGUCUGGGGCUGAGCUGGUGAGGCCUGGAUCCUCAGUGAAGCUGUCCUGCAAGACUUCAGGAUAUAGCUUCACUGGUUACUAUAUGCACUGGAUGAAGCAGAGGCCUGGACAGGGCCUGGAGUGGAUGGGGGUUCUCAACCUUAACAGUGGCAGCACAGAUUAUGCACAGAAGUUCCAAGGACGGGUCUCCAUGACCAGAGACACAUCCAUCAGCACAGCCUACAUGGAGCUCAGCAGCCUGACAUCUGAGGAUUCUGCAGUCUAUUUCUGUGCAAGAGACACAGUGUUGCAACCACAUCCUGAGUGUGUCAGGAACCCUGGAGGAGCAGGAGGCUGA
Non-coding RNA from Phodopus roborovskii (desert hamster), 446 nucleotides. Lineage: Eukaryota; Metazoa; Chordata; Mammalia; Rodentia; Cricetidae. The record is from the annotation of a RefSeq genome assembly.